GAUGAACGCUGGCGGCGCGCCUAAUACAUGCAAGUCGAGCGAACGGACGAGAAGCUUGCUUCUCUGAUGUUAGCGGCGGACGGGUGAGUAACACGUGGAUAACCUACCUAUAAGACUAGGAUAACUUCGGGAAACCGGAGCUAAUACCGGAUGAUAUUUUGAACCGCAUGGUUCAAAAGUGAAAGACGGUCUUGCUGUCACUUAUAGAUGGAUCCGCGCUGCAUUAGCUAGUUGGUAAGGUAACGGCUUACCAAGGCAACGAUGCAUAGCCGACCUGAGAGGGUGAUCGGCCACACUGGAACUGAGACACGGUCCAGACUCCUACGGGAGGCAGCAGUAGGGAAUCUUCCUCAAUGGGCGAAAGCCUGACGGAGCAACGCCGCGUGAGUGAUGAAGGUCUUCGGAUCGUAAAACUCUGUUAUUAGGGAAGAACAUAUGUGUAAGUAACUGUGCACAUCUUGACGGUACCUAAUCAGAAAGCCACGGCUAACUACGUG
This 497-nucleotide ribosomal RNA is filed under the name uncultured bacterium. RNAcentral's name for it is "partial 16S ribosomal RNA". It matches the Rfam family "Bacterial small subunit ribosomal RNA", at positions 28 to 507 of the family's 1533-position model. The record is from RNAcentral.